Molecule: long non-coding RNA, 232 nt
Filed under: Lathyrus oleraceus (garden pea)
Lineage: Eukaryota; Viridiplantae; Streptophyta; Magnoliopsida; Fabales; Fabaceae
Description: Pisum sativum (pea) long non-coding RNA (PSAT_LNC010613)
Source: RNAcentral
AUUCACACAUCUCAACUUCAUUCCACUUGUUUCUCAUUUGAAACCUCACAACUCUUAUUUCACAACUCAAUUUUGUUUUUCAUUAUUUUUCUUCCAAGCAAGCAUUCAUUUUCAUUUUCCUAUUUUUUUUUCUUUUCACAUCGUAUAUAUUUUUUUUCAAUGCUUGCUCGGUUUUUCAAGAGUUGUGGCACUUACCGAUUCUCAUUUUCGUUCUCCCCAACUUAUCUUUUAC